This 438-nucleotide ribosomal RNA is filed under the name Triticum aestivum (bread wheat). RNAcentral's name for it is "partial small subunit ribosomal RNA". Lineage: Eukaryota; Viridiplantae; Streptophyta; Magnoliopsida; Poales; Poaceae. The record is from RNAcentral.
AUGACUAGGGAUAACCUUAGGAAGAGACACAUCAUCAAACCCCUUGAUUGUGUUUAUUGCUUGGAACAAGAGUCUUGCUCUCACCUAUUUUUUGAAUGUAUAGUUGCUAAACAUCUCUGGGCCCACAUUGAGGAAUAUCUCUCUAGUCAGAUUGGCUCAUCCUUCGAAUAUGUCGCCAGAUUCUGGAUUGCUACCAAAAAGUGCUCAGUUUUAAAUACUAUUAGCUCAACUAUCCUUUGGUGCCUCUGGAAAUAUAGAAAUGCUAUGAUUUUCAGUAACACCUCCUGGAUUUCCAUUCUGCAGGUCUUGAGGUUGAUCAGGGACAUGGUGAGGAACUAGGCGAUUCUCUCCUCCGGAUCGGACAAGGACAAGUUGAUGAGCUUCGUGGAAACCCUAACAAGAUCCCUCCAGAAACUGUUGGCGAUCACUUGUGGCUGA